CGGAGGCAGCAGUGGGGAAUCUUGCACAAUGGGGGAAACCCUGAUGCAGCGACGCCGCGUGAGCGAUGAAGCCCUUCGGGGUGUAAAGCUCUUUCGGCAGGGAAGAUUAUGACGGUACCUGCAGAAGCAGCUGCGGCUAACUACGUGCCAGCAGCCGCGGUAAUACGUAGGCAGCAAGCGUUGUUCGGAGUUACUGGGCGUAAAGGGUGUGUAGGCGGCCUGUUAAGUUCCGUGUGAAAUCUCCCGGCUCAACCGGGAGGGUGCGCGGAAAACUGGGGGGCUAGAGUACGGGAUGGGAGAGUAGAAUUCCUGGUGUAGCGGUGAAAUGCGUAGAUAUCAGGAGGAAUACCGGUGGUGUAGACGGCUCUCUGGACCGUAACUGACGCUGAGACACGAAAGCGUGGGUAGCAAACAGGAUUAGAUACCCUAGUAGUCG
RNAcentral lists this ribosomal RNA (436 nucleotides) under uncultured bacterium. RNAcentral describes it as "bacterial SSU rRNA". It matches the Rfam family "Bacterial small subunit ribosomal RNA", at positions 343 to 796 of the family's 1533-position model. The record is from RNAcentral.